GCUUUGUUUCAUUACCUUCUUAAGUUGUGGCUCAGACACUACAACAGAGCUUCGUCAUCUCUUUCUAAAAGCUGGGAAAUGGUUAUUGUCAAUGCCAGCCCCAUUUUGGAGGCACCUGGCUGCAGGGGACCACAGCUAACUUGGUGCGGUGGCUCAGGACUGUAAUUCCAGCUACAUGGGAGGAUUGCUUGAGAUCAGGACUUUGAGACCAGCCUGAACAAUAUAAUAGACUGGGAGCUCCAUGAGGUCCGAGAAAACCUGAAGUCUCCCAGCUCAGAAGAGACUUGCUAUGGCAAUCACUCAGUAACUAUUUGUUGAAUUGGACAUAGUAGAAGAGCUGAAGAAUUUUAAACAAGUCACCAUCAGUCCAGUGGAUUCCUCAAAGCAAACCUGGAAAUCUCGGCAUGAGUUGGAUUUAAGGCAGUACAUUUUCAGCUCCUCAAAAUUUGAACAGUUUCUCAAGAGAACAACUUGAAACAGAAAGGAAGGAUGUAGAUGUGGUUGUAGAAGAUGAUGUCUAAGGCCACCAAACUGUCCACUGUGAAGAUAAACCAUGCAUGUUUAGUAGGCGGUGGCUCCCCUUCCCUGUGGGGAGUCCCACUGCUUCCCUGGCCUGGGAGUUCUCUGCCAGUAGAUGUUAUUGACAAAAUAAGCAAAGUCCCCUGAUUCAGAUAAUUAGAGUUUAUGAUAGCUCUAGAUUGCCACUGCCAUGCUAUUUAAAGUCCUGCUUUAUUGUCUGACAUGAGUUUGGCACCUGUGAGGACUUGUCCAAUGCAAGGUACAAUCUCCACUGAAAGAUACCACCAGCACAUCUUGUCACUGUGCUGUAGCAAGCCGGGCAGUACAAUGAUGUUGGCAGGACCCUGUUUAGGUGGAGGAUGGCUACCUGGGCAUCAAUAACAUUCUACCUUGAUUCCACAUUGAUUCCCAAACAGCUCUUCACCCACAUCUUCUAAUUAAAGCAGCAGAUGGGAGUCCCAGCUAGAGAAAAGUUCUGGGAGCA
Molecule: long non-coding RNA, 1003 nt
Organism: Cercocebus atys (sooty mangabey)
Lineage: Eukaryota; Metazoa; Chordata; Mammalia; Primates; Cercopithecidae
Exons: 3
Source: RefSeq, a predicted model, not a curated record